Molecule: ribosomal RNA, 497 nt
Filed under: uncultured bacterium
Lineage: Bacteria
Description: partial 16S ribosomal RNA
Rfam family: Bacterial small subunit ribosomal RNA
Source: RNAcentral
GAUGAACGCUGGCGGCGUGCCUAAUACAUGCAAGUCGAGCGAACAGAUGAGGAGCUUGCUCCUCUGACGUGAGCGGCGGACGGGUGAGUAACACGUGGAUAACCUACCUAUAAGACUGGGAUAACUUCGGGAAACCGGAGCUAAUACCGGAGAAGAUAUUGAACCGCAUGGUUCAAUAGUGAAAGACGGUUGUGCUGUCACGUAUAGAUGGAUCCGCGCCGCAUUAGCUAGUUGGUAAGGUAACGGCUUACCAAGGCAACGAUGCGUAGCCGACCUGAGGGGGUGAUCGCCCACACUGGAACUGAGACACGGUCCAGGCUCCUGCGGGAGGCAGCAGUCGCGAAUCUUCCGCAAUGGGCGAAAGCCUUACGGAGCAGCCCCGCGUGAGUGGUGAAGGUCUUCGGAUCGUAAAACUCUGUUAUUAGGGAAGAACAAAUGUGUAAGUAACUAUGCACGUCUUGACGGUACCUAAUCAGAAAGCCACGGCUAACUACGUG